This is a non-coding RNA of Sus scrofa (pig), 2323 nucleotides long. Lineage: Eukaryota; Metazoa; Chordata; Mammalia; Artiodactyla; Suidae. The record is from RefSeq and is a predicted model, not a curated record.
UUUGCAGAGUGCAGCCAGGGCAGUGGAAUCACAGUCCAACUUCACACAAUGUUCUCAUGCUCUCAGUGAGGUAUAGAGGCAGCAAAGAGCGGACAGAUUUCAAGCUUGGACUCUGAAGAAGGCAAUAGCUAUCAUGAUGAUGGACAAGCAUCAUUGGAAACCCCAGAGGUUCAAGGUAUAGGGAAGGUCGCAAGGCACCAAAGGGAAGAGGAUGGAAGAAAAAGAAAGAUGAUAAGAAAACUGCAGCACUGAGACAUCCCCAUCACAGCACGUGGCUGGCUGUGAUUGGCCACUAGCAACUGAGACCACGGAUAAGGAGGGACUUCUAUACUUAAAUUGUCCAAAGCCUAAGGACAAGUUCUGCUUCCUAUAGAUCUGAUCCACAUCCUUAUUUUCUUACCCUAAGUCUCGGGAAGGUUGAACAAAAUCUGUAUGCUUAUGAAGACAUUCCGCCUGACUUGGAAACUGAGCCAACCUAAGUCUUCUGAGCUUGAUUUUAAUAUUCAUGGUAAUAAUUUAUAAUAACAUAAUAAUAUCCAUGUAUUGAGCGCUUAUUAUGCACUAGGUAAGAGUUUGUAUGCAUUAUUUCAUUGAAUAUUUGCAAUAAACCUGUUAAACUUUAGAAAAAAUUUUAAUCUUGGUUUACAAGUUAAAGAAACUGAGGUUUAGAAAAAUCAAGUUAGCUUGAUUAAGAUCAGUCUACUAAUAAAUAAACAGAACUGGGAUAUGCCACCAAAUUUAGUCUAAUAUUGUUUCCAUCCUCUCAAAUAUAAUGCUAUAUGUUUGGUUCUACUUAAAUACUAUUAAGGAAUUAGUACAAAAGUUGGGAUUUUUUUCCCACAUUCCCAAUAUGGUUUAUGAAUUCCUCAAGCAGUUAGUAUUGAUAUUAUGGUAACUCUUACCACUAUUAAUAUAACAUCAAUAACAAUGCCCCUUGUAUACCAACUACACUUCUGGAAUAUUUAUUUAUACAUUUAAUCCUCAUAGCUAAUCUAUAAAGUAAGUGAAAAAAAAUUCCAUUUCUUCACAUACGGAAUCAAAAAUCUUAGUUUAAGGAAUUACUUUCAAAUUCCAUAGCUAUUAACCUAAACUUUGAUCCAGGUCUGACUCCAACACACACACUGUGAUACCCCUUGAAGGUAAUCUGACUACGACACUUAUCCAAAAGAAGUUCCUACUAAUCUAGUUGGCAUCCUAGUUGCUCUUGCCUUUCUCCAUAGACAUCCCUCUCUCCCUUCCAAAUGGUUGUGUUGCACUAAGGAGAAAGAUCACCUAAUGUGCAUGGAUCAUUCUUCAUCCAGUGAAAUGGAGAAUGGUGUUUCCCAUUAAGAAACAUCAAGCAAUGCAAUCAUUCACUGUUAUUUACAUUUUUUUCUGAACCCAUUCUCUAAUUAAACCUUACUUUCCUGAAAUGAAGUUCAUAAAUUACUACAUUAUUUUUAAACUUAUACUAUUAUCAAUAACAAUCCAUUAUGAAGAUCCCUGGGGUCCAUUUCUCAUGCAAAUUACACAGAAGUUGACAAGCAGAAAGUAAUUUAUCUUUCAAAUAUUUGUCCUAGGCAGUGACUCAUUCGAUUUGGUUUAAUUAACUCCCAAGUUAGCAAAAAGAGAAUUUUUAAAAAUAAAGAUUUACAUGUAAUUGGGUUAGGCCUGUUCUGAGUAAAUGUUUAUUAACCCCUGAAAUGCCUAAGAAUUGUUAAAUAUUGUUGCAAUUGAAACAGUAGAGAUCAUGUACAAAAUUACACCAAGGAUAAACUCUUAAGAUGCACCAAUUUUUUUUUUCAAGUUAAACUGCUGUAGAUGAGUUCCAUUUGAAUUCAUCUAUAACAUAGAAUUCAAGUUUUGGAGAUGCUGAGAUAAUAUUCCUUUGAGCAAAAUGUUCUACACUGUUCUAAUCAGCUGACUAGUUCUGUGGAAAACAGAACAGCCAGUUGAAGAGCAAACUGGUGAAUGAAUGAAAUGUCAGAUACACCAAAUAGAUUUUUCCUGCUAACAACAACGGAAGAAAGAUUCAAAAACAGGGGACAGUUUUUCUAUCUCAAAGGCUCACUAUGCUCCCCUCUGAAACUGUAUUGUAUUUUGCAGGAAGAAGCAAGAAGAAUUUCAAAAUUAAGCAGGGGGACAUGAUAAACAGAACGGGCUCACCACUGACAAAUGGCCUGCUCUCCCUCUCUUCUGUCCUGAACAUUACAGAUUCUCCCAGGAGUAUCUCUGUAAUUAGGAAGCAAACACCUUCUCAACCUCAAUUUUAGCACAUUUGAGACAUAUACAGUCACAAAAGCAGCAAGAAAGAAGCAUCUCUGAAGAUUUGGCAUGAUUGGUG